GCCAACGACCAUACCACGUUGAAUACACCAGUUCUCGUCCGAUCACUGAAGUUAAGCAACGUCGGGCGUAGUUAGUACUUGGAUGGGUGACCGCUUGGGAACACUACGUGCCGUUGGUA
Molecule: ribosomal RNA, 119 nt
Filed under: Rhopalosiphum maidis (corn leaf aphid)
Lineage: Eukaryota; Metazoa; Arthropoda; Insecta; Hemiptera; Aphididae
Source: RNAcentral